UAACCACCUCAUAAUGGGCCCAGUGGACCAUUCAAACUGGAAAGUGUUACCCUCUCACCACACCUGAAAAUCCAGCUUUACACAAGGAAAAAUGGAAAUUGGAAGUGAUUUAUUUACCCAGGCCCAGAAACGAAAAGAGGUAAGAAUGACAACAUUGAGAAAGUGAAGAUCUGGAUUCAUGGGCAGUGCCCCUCCACAAAGCUAGAAGAAGCUUUAGAAGUGCAGCUCAAAGAUGAGUACUGAACAUGAGAAAUGACUGGCUCCCGGAUCCUUUCAACCUCUUCAUAAAAUACACCAAGGUCACUGAAACAAACUGGAAGUCAGAGUGUUCUAUACAACAGUUUUACAUUAAGUAUGGAGGAGAAGAAAAGGAGAAAAAAAAAAAACUUGGCACACUCAUCUGGCAAACAAAGCUGGAGGUGAAACCAGUUGCGAAAUUUCACUCUACUGGAGUCCGGAGGAUCCAGGAAAACGGGGUUUACGUUUCAAAGUCAGCAAGAAGCGGAGGUUGCCCCGCUGCGCCGUGGAGCCCUGCGCUCGCUAGCUCCCUAGCUGGAGUAAGCACCCGGUAGCGGGAGGAGGCGCCGGGUGAGCGGCCUCGGGACAAACGCUUACCCCGGCUCGGCACUGCAGGCACAGCUAAACGCGGAUGGUGCACAC
Molecule: long non-coding RNA, 660 nt
Organism: Zalophus californianus (California sea lion)
Lineage: Eukaryota; Metazoa; Chordata; Mammalia; Carnivora; Otariidae
Exons: 5
Source: RefSeq, a predicted model, not a curated record